CUAACAAGUAACAACAGAUGCAUAAGGGAUAUUUUCCAUUUGUUUCUAUUUCAGAUCAUUCUUUGGACAUUGCAUGAGACUAAAUUUGUCUCCUUUCUGUAUUGGAACGGGAGAUGCUGAACAUUUAUCCAUUAUGAAUCUCUAAAACAUUAUUAAUAUAUGAUUUCUGAGACAAGUCUAAAAGUCCUUAUGAUCUAUCACGGAAUAUUUCUAUUCCUAUCACAUAACCUGCCUCACCCAUAUCUUUC
RNAcentral lists this long non-coding RNA (248 nucleotides) under Glycine max (soybean). RNAcentral describes it as "long non-coding RNA (GMAX_LNC002468)". The record is from RNAcentral. Lineage: Eukaryota; Viridiplantae; Streptophyta; Magnoliopsida; Fabales; Fabaceae.